CGUCGCUGCCAGCUCAAAUGCCUCUAGGUAGGCCUUCACAUCAUCCUCCUCUGACGUCCAAGGCAGUCCCGGGCCGCCCCCUUCUCUUACUAUGGACAUCUGUUGUGCUUCAAUUUUUUCACAGAGAUCUUGUUAUCAGGCCCACAGCUGGAUUCUUGCUUCCACCUCCUGGGUCCGCACACUCACCAUCUCUUCCAGCUGAGCCUGCUGGCUCUGGAUGAGUCUUAACGUGAGGUUAUGCACCUGUUGCCAGUCUGUGGGUGCCUAGAGGUCCAUGAUGUCCAUUCUGCCUUCCACGUUCCUGGCCAAUGCACCACUUUGUUAGCAUGUCUGUGCAGGGUACCACCUAAAUCCCUUUGAUUCUCUCCUGCCAUGACUUUGCUCUAAUAAAGAAAUAGGGAGGGAAGAGACGUUGCCCUGGUUAGUGCCCGUGGAAGGACCACGCUGGUCAAACUACAAUUUAGGUGCUUUUAUUACUUGGUCUCUUACAGGAAAGCCCAGAGGGGCAGCAGUUUGUCCGAGUCAUCCCCGGGAUCACCCCUGCACUCCCAGGAGGAUCCCCGCCAACUUAAUUGUACUGUUAAUGGUGCUGGGUCCCGGUUGCUUCAGGGGCUGGGCGGAUGACCUCCAUCACUCUUUGCCUCCUUCAUUGCUUCGCGGCAUCCCAGCGCGAAGCUGCGGCUUUUGCUCAUGCUGUGGCUCCAUUCCCCUCUGGCUCACUGCCGCUGCUGUGGACUCCAGGAAAGUACCUUACACAUUGCAUUCUGCACCAAGUUUUCAUCCAUUUUGCUGAACCUGGGCCAUUUGCCAGCCAGGAAUGCAAGAAUCAUAGGGCUAGAACAAGAAAGGAGCCUGACUAUAGCCCAGACACUUAUAGGUCCUGCUGCUAGGAUUCUGUUUUUUUAACCAAUGACUGUCUAAUGUAACAUACAUAAACAGCUUUGACAGGCUAGCUGGCAGUGACCUAGCCCAGGAGUUUUGAAAGGGCAAAAGAUGAUUGGAGGACUUGGGAUUCCCUUUCCUCACCAAUCAGGCCCCAGAGACUCACCCCUCAUGUCCCCUGAUUGGCCCCUUGGGCCACCUGGAGGGGGAUAAAAGGGGCAGCACGGCUGACUCAGGGAAGAGACCAGUGAUGGACCACGAGGAAGGAGCUUCAAAGAGCUGGCAAGAGCUGAGCCAGCGGGGCGGAAGCAGUUGCCCCAGAAGAGCCUGAAGGAGCAGGACCUGCAGGCAGCAUUUGGACCUUUAGCAGCAUGGUGUGUGGCCGGCAGGAGAGGCUUCCUACUGGGCUCUAGGAUCCCCUACGAGAGGCUGUGGCCAGCAGGAGAGGCUUCCCACUUCAGCAAGGAUCUGAGCAGCAACCUGAGGGGUUCCCAGCUUGGCUUCCAGCUCCUCCAAUCAGAGACCAGGCAGCUCAACAUGAGGCUGGGGCUCCAGGAAGGUCAAGACCCCUAGCAGCUUGGAGUAGUACUAGCACUGGUGACUGUGGUAGUGUUUCUGCCUACCAUGUGGGAGAUUCAAGUUCUAGCUUUGGUGACUUGGGGUGAGUGAGCUAACAAGGAAAAAUUCCUCUUGCAGUGGAAAGGGGCCAUUGUGUUUUCUCCCCUUCCAGGUACCUAGGCCCUAUAUCUCUUUGUCCUUUGACAUUUUGUAUUUUGUGCCUUUUUAUGUUUCCCCAACCAGUAUUGUUUGCUCUGCUGUCUGUGUUUUAUAUUUUGUUAACCCUGUCUUUUGUCAAUGAUUGUAAGUGUCUAACCUUUGUUGAAUCCUGCCCCCUUGGGGCACUGUAGUGUCCACUAUAUCCCCUGAUUAUGCCUGUUAUGUUCCCAGUUUUGUUCCCUCAUUAAAAGGUAUAUGGUUAAGUCCCCA
Long non-coding RNA from Alligator mississippiensis (American alligator), 1869 nucleotides. RefSeq lists it as uncharacterized. Lineage: Eukaryota; Metazoa; Chordata; Crocodylia; Alligatoridae. The transcript has 3 exons. The record is from RefSeq and is a predicted model, not a curated record.